This is a long non-coding RNA of Eriocheir sinensis (Chinese mitten crab), 1137 nucleotides long. RefSeq lists it as uncharacterized. The transcript is spliced from 5 exons. The record is from RefSeq and is a predicted model, not a curated record. Lineage: Eukaryota; Metazoa; Arthropoda; Malacostraca; Decapoda; Varunidae.
UCAAAGGGAGAGUAAGGUGAUUAAAGAGAAAGAGUAUUAUGAUCAAAGGGAGAGUAAGGUGAUUAAAGAGAUAGAGUAUUAUGAUCAAAGGGAGAGUAAGGUGAUUAAAGAGAUAGAGUAUUAUGAUCAAAGGGAGAGUAAGGUGAUUAAAGAGAAAGAGUAUUAUGAUCAAAGGGAGAGUAAGGGGAUUAAAGAGAAAGAGUGUUAUGAUCAAAGGGAGAGUAAGGUGAUUAAAGAGAUAGAGUAUUAUAAUCAAAGGGAGAGUAAGGGGAUUAAAGAGAAAGAGUGUUAUGAUCAAAGGGAGAGUAAGGUGAUUAAAGAGAUAGAGUAUUAUGAUCAAAGGGAGAGUAAGGUGAUUAAAGAGAUAGAGUAUUAUGAUCAAAGGGAGAGUAAGGUGAUUAAAGAGAUAGAGUAUUAUGAUCAAAGGGAGAGUAAGGUGAUUAAAGAGAUAGAGUAUUAUAAUCAAAGGGAGAGUAAGGUGAUUAAAGAGGUAGAGUAUUAUAAUCAAAGGGAGAGUAAGGGGAUUAAAGAGGUAGAGUAUUAUAAUCAAAGGGAGAGUAAGGUGAUUAAAGAGAAAGAGUAUUAUGAUCAAAGGGAGAGUAAGGUGAUUAAAGAGGUAGAGUAUUAUGAUCAAAGGGAGAGUAAGGGGAUUAAAGAGAUAGAGUAUUAUAAUCAAAGGGAGAGUAAGGGGAUUAAAGAGAUAGAGUAUUAUAAUCAAAGGGAGAGUAAGGGGAUUAAAGAGAAUGAGUGUUAUGAUCAAAGGGAGAGUAAGGGGAUUAAAGAGAUAGAGUAUUAUGAUCAAAGGGAGAGUAAGGUGAUUAAAGAGAUAGAGUAUUAUGAUCAAAGGGAGAGUAAGGUGAUUAAAGAGAAAGAGUAUUAUGAUCAAAGGGAGAGUAAGGGGAUUAAAGAGAAAGAGUGUUAUGAUCAAAGGGAGAGUAAGGUGAUUAAAGAGGUAGAGUAUUAUAAUCAAAGGGAGAGUAAGGUGAUUAAAGUUUACCAUUGAAGGGGAUGAAAGAGUGAUGAUGCUGGUUAACUCUUGCAUAAGGGAUUUGGACAGCAUAGGGAUGAAUGAGUGAAGAUGCUGGUUAACUUUUGCGUGAGGUAUUUAACGAGAUAGAGUAUUAUGAUGAGAGAGAG